UACGGAGGGCGCAAGCGUUGUUCGGAAUCACUGGGCGUAAAGCGCGUGUAGGCGGCUUUGCAAGUCGGGUGUGAAAUCCCGAGGCUCAGCCUCGGAACUGCACUCUAUACUGCUUGGCUCGAGUCCCGGAGAGGGUGGCGGAAUUCCCGGUGUAGGGGUGAAAUCCGUAGAUAUCGGGAGGAACAUCAGUGGCGAAGGCGGCCACCUGGACGGUGACUGACGCUGAGACGCGAAAGCGUGGGGAGCAAACAGG
This 253-nucleotide ribosomal RNA is filed under the name uncultured bacterium. RNAcentral describes it as "partial 16S ribosomal RNA". It matches the Rfam family "Bacterial small subunit ribosomal RNA", at positions 524 to 776 of the family's 1533-position model. The record is from RNAcentral.